Long non-coding RNA from Mesocricetus auratus (golden hamster), 1407 nucleotides. RefSeq lists it as uncharacterized. The transcript has 3 exons. NCBI's taxonomy places the organism in Eukaryota, Metazoa, Chordata, Mammalia, Rodentia, Cricetidae. The record is from RefSeq and is a predicted model, not a curated record.
UCCCAGCAGAGCCCUUGCAAAAGCAAAGCCCAGGGAACUAAUCCAAUAAAAAAAAAAAAAAGAAAGAAAUAGGCAAUCAGGCUCAGAGUGCAAACAAAAAAGACUGAAGGAUGAGCCGGGAGCUGGUGCCGCUUGCAGGAGGAAAACGGACCUCUCGAUCGUAAUGAAGAGUGCACAGGAAAGGCACAGACGGGAAGCACUAGUCUGGCGGAUAGCAAUCGGCCCUUCAGAUUCCCUGGCUGGGGUCACGCGGAGCUGAGCAGAACUACUUCUGCCAAGGGCAUCAGACGUUCCAGACUUCAGCCAGCUCAGACAAACCAGGAAGCCGCCCCGCAGCCACCAGACGGCCACGGGGAAGAUCCAGACCUAGAACUCUGAAGGUAACUCUCCAGCACCAUGUCUUCCUGUAUGCUGCCGCCAUGUUUCCUGCCAUGAUGUUAGAGGACUAAACCCCUAAGCUGGCCUUACCAUAUUGCUUCAGAUGGCCUAGAAUUAUGCUGGCGUUGACUUCCCACAGCUUAAAAGGAGAGACACGGCACAGCCGUCAGGAAGCAGACCAGAGGUGGGUUCCCAACCUUCAACACAUGUCCCUUCCCUGUUGACACAGUAAUGUCCAGGAAUCCUACAAGCGGUGAUGAGAUACGGCUUCCUCCUAUGAAGUCACUGGCUGUGAGGGACAGGCUGCUCGGCUACCUUCCGCCCACACAGCCCCACGGCCUGUCCUCAGCAAGAAGCUCCUGGGAGGAUGCAAGCUUGGGGACGCGGGACUGGUUUCUCUUCGUGCCGAAGCUGUAGUGUGACAGUCAACCAUUAACCCCGGUGUUCACAGCCUGCGUGGCCCUGCCCCCACGUGUGUGCUGGAAGCAGUGACCGGCACGCCGGCAGAAGGCAGAAGUGGCAGGACGGCCUUUUUGUGAGUUGGGAGAGAUCAGGGUUUGCCUUUGCUUGCUUUGAUGAACACGGCUGCCCUGUUCUGAGUUGCCCCAGGAUAGCCCCUUGUGACAAGGGACAGAGGACGGUUUUCGUUCGAUUCCUGCUCACAAGGGGUGCUGGCUGAGAAAAGAAUUACAAUUAAUUCUGUAGCUGGGGGGGCUGUAGAGAUGGCUGGGGGCCAAGAGAACUCGCUGCUUGUGGUCUGAGAAUGCUCCCAUAGGCUGGACCUGCUUGGGAAGGGUUAGGUGUGGCCUUGAUGAAGAUGUGUCACUGGGGAUGGCUUUGUGGCUUCAGAAGCACCAGCCAGGGGUUGGAGAGGUAUCUUAGUGGUUAAGAGCACCAGCUGCUUUUCCAGAGGUUCUGAGUCCAAUUCCUACAACUGUAGUUCCGUGGGAUCUGAUGCCCUCUUCUGGUGUGCACACAUGUAAAUAAAGCAUCUAUAUACAUAAAAUACAUAAAUAAUAAAUACAUCUC